AUCUAACAGUACUUUGGCUCGAAGUGGAGUGACGCCUUUGCCCUCGCUUUUCUCCUACAAUUUCACCUUCGUAUUGGUGUCUGAAAUGAUGUCAGCCGGGCAUAUGCGUCUUUAGGCAGUAGAAGACGCCCCAUUCUUCCGUGAUCUUCUCAUUCGAUUGCUGCCAGAACAAUCCAGAGAUCAAUUAUCAAGAACGAUUGAGAGAGAGAGAGAGAGAGAGAGAGAGAGAGAGAGAGAAAUAGGGUUUGUUUCUUUGCUUUGCACGAAGAGAUGGAGAGAUCCAAGGGAAAUUCUCACCUCAUCAUCUCAGCACGAGGUCGAUUACUCUUUAUCACGAGAGUGAUUGUAAAGGUUUUUAUUUGGUGGUUUGUAACAAAUCUCUUCUUAGCUUUCAUCACCAACCAUAAAAACUUGGGUUCGUCAUCAGCAAGACUGCUUCGCCUGAAGAUUAGAAGAAAGCCACCAUUAAGGACCAUCAGGAUAAGGGCGGAGCUCCACGAAGAGAAUUGGCGUUUGAUCAUCUCGGCACGAGGUAAUUCAGCUUCCUCGAAGAGAUACAAAGCUCAAGCUUUCUGGACAUGACGACUUUCUUCAUUUUAAGAGAAUUAAGGUUGGGUACCUGCAUAUGAGGAUUCUUGGCAACAUCAGCUCCUCAAAUUUGUUAGAUCAUGCCAAGCGAUUUGUAUAAUCUCAAGUCCAGGACAUAAGUAGCAGAACCUGUACAAGGUUUAGGAUGGUAGCGUUGGCAGGCAUUCAUUGAUUGUAGGGUUUGAUAUAUACAGAAAGUUUAUGUUGCAUUUCAUGAUGAAUGCUGGGGAGUUCCAGUAUGUGAUGACAAUCAAUUGUUUGAGCUGCGUGCUCUGUCUGGGAUGUUGAUGGACCACAAUUGGACUGAAAUUGGGAAAAGAAGGGAGAUGCUCAGGGAAGCCUUUUCGGCAUUUGAUCCAAACACAGUUGCCAAAUGGGGGAGGAAGAGAUUGAAGUGAUAAACUGCUGUUAUAGGAGUUAGUGGAAAAGUUGUGGACAGUGGUCUGAAUGAUCAUAUCUUCAUAUACUGUUCCAAUCAUGGUGGUCUGGAGUACUGGGUGAGUAGCUUUUCAGUAGCAACUUACACAAAAUGAUUUGUCCUGCUUUGGUUAUUGUGUAGGGGUCAAAUUGGUUGAUUGUUUAUGCCUAUUUGAGUUGAGCUAAUAGUAGCAACUUACACAAAAUGAUUUGCUGCAUUCCUGGUGAAUGAAAGUAGUUUGGGUUUAAGUUUCGAUUUGAAUAGAAAUGAGAGUGAUGAUGGUUUUGCUAUCAAAAUUGAUUAAAUCAGAAGAGGGUAGUUCCCAGUAGUAGAGGUUGUUGAACUCUUUUUCUCAAUGACUGAUCUGGUUUUGUUUAUAUCCGCUUUCUGGAAUUGUUAUUACUGUGGUACAGCACAAAAGAAAUUCAAAUUUAAGCUUAAUCAGAUGCUGUAUUGAUAUGAUGCUUUUGCCCUCAUUUGAGAUUUUUUUGCGGUUCUGCCACUGAGCUAUACUAGGGGCUUCCAUCAGUUUCUUCUUUCUUUUACGGCCUUCUAUUGGUUUCUCUCUUCCUCCCUUCUGCCCUGGUUUAUUAAGCUAUCGCCAUCACUCAGUAUGACAUCGAAGAAGUACAGCAACACUUGCAACCACAGAUUUUCGCAGCAGAAGAUAGUUUCUUUGUACGAGAGGUUCUGUCAGCUCAAUCGCAGUGGCGGAGGUUUCAUCUUUGCCGACGAGUUUUUUGUCCGUACCGGAAUUCACAGUCAAUCCUCUCUCAGUUUUGCAUUUCUCAGUUUUGGCUGGUUGGACGUAGAUACUGGGGGAGAUAUGGAGCAAGACCACACUUGCUCUUAGGAGAUGCUUCUGUAUCAACACCCAAUUUCCUUUUCUCAUCAGAGAGAUUUGAUCAAACAACAAAGCUACUUAGUUUUGGGGUGAAUUCAGGAAAUAGGCUAAUACGUCAAGAAUAAGCUAAUGGGUUCCAUCAUUCUUUUUGUGCAGAAAGAUAUUCAAGGGAGGAUUGACAAAGAACAAGCGGUUCUUUGCUUUGCUCAGCUCACUGGCAUUGGUUACAAUUAUGAGUUCAAUUGCGUCUGAAUUUGGUUUGAAUGUUGGAGCUUUUGGGAUUAAUUUGGGUUUGUUUCUGUUGACAACUACAGAUGCAGAGAGGGAAACUCUAUGUUGGAUAUUAUGUGGCGAUGAAGGGGUUCUCUGCUUUGCUUAUCAGCAUUGCAACAUUUCUCCCAUGUUGUGAGAGUCAUGGAUAAAUGUUGCUUCAGAGAAUAAAGAUGGUUUUUCCUUUUCACAGAGAUGAAGGAGCCGGUGAUAGUUUUUCUUGGAGAAAUUGAGCUCAUUUGAACAAAUAGGAAUAUCCGAUUGAGCUGGCACCCAUUUGAUCAAAUUGGGGGAUUUGAUUGAGCAAUCAGAGAUCUUUGAAGGAUUGAGCUCCGGUGUGAUUGUGGAAUCCCUGAAGGUGGUUAGCUUGCAAGGAUUUGCCUCAAUUUUGGAGCGUAACCUCUGCAGAAUUGUGAGUCAAAUUUUGACUAUUUACUGAUUAUAGUUGAAUUUUGGUUGAGACUAGAUGCGGUUAGAUGAAUCUCUUCAAUAUGUUUAUCAAUUCAGUGAAGCAUCAUCUUGCUUUUAAUAGUUCUGUUAUUCAAAUACUCAUGUCAUUCAUUAUCAAAAAAUUUUUUAUCAUUAUUUUUAAAUUUUUUUUUCUCUAAAUAGAGAUUUAGAGACAAACCUUCAAGGGCUGAAGCAAGAUCGCAAACCUGUUGUGUUUCAUUUUCUCUAUUUAGACCUUUGGGGUGUAUUAGAACACAGAAGGUCCUAAAAUUCUUGAGUUUAGUUAUGGUCUAUAUUCAGUAUUCAGAUUGGUUUAGAUGGAUUUAGUUGUUUUGUACCACAGAGGUAGUAAGUGUGUGUUUGGGAAUGUCUCUGAAAUGAAAGUGCUUUUGGGUUUAAUGUCAAAUGAAUUUGGAAUAUGUUAUCUGCAUUGUUUUGCUCGCUUUGAACAUUAUCAUGAUAGAGUGGUUUAAUGUCAAAUGAAUUUGGAGCAAGUUGUUCACAGUGACAAAUUCCGCAGCAAAGCGCAGAUAACAUUUC
Molecule: RNA transcript, 3110 nt
Organism: Rosa chinensis
Lineage: Eukaryota; Viridiplantae; Streptophyta; Magnoliopsida; Rosales; Rosaceae
Exons: 12
Source: RefSeq, a predicted model, not a curated record